RNAcentral lists this ribosomal RNA (253 nucleotides) under uncultured bacterium. RNAcentral describes it as "partial 16S ribosomal RNA". It matches the Rfam family "Bacterial small subunit ribosomal RNA", at positions 524 to 776 of the family's 1533-position model. The record is from RNAcentral.
UACGUAGGGUGCAAGCGUUGUCCGGAAUUAUUGGGCGUAAAGAGCUCGUAGGCGGUUUGUCGCGUCGAAUGUGAAAACCCGGGGCUCAACCCCGGGCCUGCAUUCGAUACGGGCAGACUAGAGUUCGGUAGGGGAGACUGGAAUUCCUGGUGUAGCGGUGGAAUGCGCAGAUAUCAGGAGGAACACCGAUGGCGAAGGCAGAUCUCUGGGCCGUAACUGACGCUGAGGAGCGAAAGCGUGGGGAGCGAACAGG